ACCGGGCAGUGCCGCGAAGCUACCAUCUGCUGGAUAAUGGCUGAACGCCUCUAAGUCAGAAUCCAUGCCAGAACGCGACGAUACCUCCCGCACGUACAGAUGGACACGAAUAGGCUUCGGCUUAGCGUCUUAGCAGGCGAUUCCUCCACUGCUCUCGAAGCGAGUAGUGGUAUUUCGCGAAUUGUAAUUUCAGCACGAGCGGGGUCAAAUCCUUUGCAGACGACUUAGAUGUGCGAAAGGGUCCUGUAAGCAGUAGAGUAGCCUU
This 265-nucleotide non-coding RNA is filed under the name Jatropha curcas. RNAcentral's name for it is "Eukaryotic large subunit ribosomal RNA". It matches the Rfam family "Eukaryotic large subunit ribosomal RNA", at positions 3080 to 3356 of the family's 3401-position model. Lineage: Eukaryota; Viridiplantae; Streptophyta; Magnoliopsida; Malpighiales; Euphorbiaceae. The record is from Rfam by way of RNAcentral.